CCUACGGGAGGCAGCAGUGGGGAAUAUUGGGCAAUGGAGGCAACUCUGACCCAGCAACGCCGCGUGAAUGAUGAAGGUCUUCGGAUUGUAAAGUUCUGUGAUGGGGGAUGAACACAAUGACGGUACCCCAAUAGCAAGCCACGGCUAACUACGUGCCAGCAGCCGCGGUAAUACGUAGGUGGCGAGCGUUAUCCGGAUGUAUUGGGUUUAAAGGGUGCGUAGGCGGAAUGCCAAGUCAGCGGUAAAAUCGCGGGGCUCAACCUCGCUGCGCCGUUGAAACUGGCGUUCUUGAGUGGGCGAGAAGUAAGUGGAAUUAGUGGUGUAGCGGUGAAAUGCAUAGAUAGAAGGCAGAACUCCGAUUGCGAAGGCAGCAUACCGGCGCCCAACUGACGCUGAGGCACGAAAGCGUGGGUAUCGAACAGGAUUAGAUACCCUGGUAGUC
Molecule: ribosomal RNA, 442 nt
Filed under: uncultured bacterium
Lineage: Bacteria
Description: partial 16S ribosomal RNA
Rfam family: Bacterial small subunit ribosomal RNA
Source: RNAcentral